UCCAAAGGUGCUGAGAUUACAGGUGU
This 26-nucleotide non-coding RNA is filed under the name Homo sapiens (human). Lineage: Eukaryota; Metazoa; Chordata; Mammalia; Primates; Hominidae. The record is from RNAcentral.